GAGAAUCAGGUAAAAAGUUUUUGUGAACUGAGAUCUAUUCAGAUUCUGAGGAAAAGCCACAGAUCCAGAAAAUCUCCCCCAUGACCAGCAGCCACAGCCUCCCACCUGUCCUCCACCUUCACUCCCACCUGUCCUCCACCUUCACUCCCACCUGUCCUCCACCUUCACUCCCACCUGUCCUCCACCUUCACCAUCUCAUCCACCAGCUGCUCUGUGUUCACCUGUAGCUGUUUAGUCCAGCCAGUAACUCCACUAACCGACUCCCUUCAACUGGAAAUUCCUCUAUCAGACUGAAGCAUUCUGUGUAACGUCUUCAAAGCCUUAAGGAGUUGAAGGAGUCGGCCUGGGAAACCCCAGGAUGCUGCAAGUCGUUCUGACCCGUCUGACAGUCACUGGUUCUGCUGAAGAGAUGGACUCACUGGAUGAGCUCGGCCUUCCAGCCUCCACUGCAGAGAAAUUAGAAGUCCUGAACCAAAAACUGGAAUCAGGAGCUGUUCAGAAAUAAAUGCUGGAUCUCAGAAGGACCUGAUCUGCUGUCUGCAACAUUUUAUCCAAGAUCCUUUCAAACCACCAAGCAGAGCAGCAGAGAUCUAUUCAGACUGGGUGGAGAGAGAAGUCUUUCUGGUCACCAGCUCUUGAUGACUGAAAUAUUUAGGGUUGUACCAAAGAACCAAGCGUCUGAUUCAGAACACCAAAAGUUUUAAGGCUCAAGGUUGUCUGGUUUGUUUUUUUGUUAUUAUUUUGUGCAUGUUUCCUGUCUUUUUGGUACAUAUGUAUACAUAAAUGUGAUUAUCAUAUUUUGUU
Molecule: long non-coding RNA, 804 nt
Organism: Poecilia latipinna (sailfin molly)
Lineage: Eukaryota; Metazoa; Chordata; Actinopteri; Cyprinodontiformes; Poeciliidae
Exons: 5
Source: RefSeq, a predicted model, not a curated record